This 235-nucleotide ribosomal RNA is filed under the name uncultured Eubacteriales bacterium. RNAcentral's name for it is "uncultured Clostridiales bacterium partial 16S ribosomal RNA". It matches the Rfam family "Bacterial small subunit ribosomal RNA", at positions 99 to 334 of the family's 1533-position model. Lineage: Bacteria; Bacillati; Bacillota; Clostridia; Eubacteriales. The record is from RNAcentral.
CGAACGGGUGAGUAACGCGUGAGCAACCUGCCUAUGACAGUGGGAUAGCCUCGGGAAACCGGGAUUAAUACCGCAUAAAAUCGUAGAAACACAUGUUUUAACGGUCAAAGAUUUAUCGGUCAUAGAUGGGCUCGCGUCUGAUUAGCUAGUUGGUGAGAUAACAGCCCACCAAGGCGACGAUCAGUAGCCGGUCUGAGGGGAUGAACGGCCACAUUGGAACUGAGACACGGUCCAA